RNAcentral lists this transfer RNA (62 nucleotides) under Craspedonirmus immer. RNAcentral's name for it is "tRNA-Val". Lineage: Eukaryota; Metazoa; Arthropoda; Insecta; Psocodea; Philopteridae. The record is from RNAcentral.
UAAGAUGUAGUUUAAUAAAAAUCCUUUAUUUACAUUAAAGGGAUCUGAUACCAGCAUCUUAU